This is a long non-coding RNA of Mytilus californianus (California mussel), 1509 nucleotides long. RefSeq lists it as uncharacterized. Lineage: Eukaryota; Metazoa; Mollusca; Bivalvia; Mytilida; Mytilidae. The transcript is spliced from 2 exons. The record is from RefSeq and is a predicted model, not a curated record.
UUGAGUCAAAUCGAACAAUAUACCAAUACAUAUGUGGUAUGAUUGACAAUGAGACAACUUCCCAUUAGAUACCAAAUAGAUAUCAUAUGUGACGUACGAUGUCACCGGACGGCUCUCAGCAAAAACACGGACAACAAAGCAAACUAUAAAAAGACCCCAAAAACGACAAAUCAAACGAGGAAACUGACUGCCUGAUUUGUGUACAAAACAAUACACGAAAAGCAAAUAUGAUAUACAGCAACAAACCACAACCACUGAAUAGCAAACAUCGGUUAAACUUAUAAUAGCCUUGUAAUUAUAUAAUAUAAAAUUUUUUAGAAUGACAUCAAAGGUAAAGUUCCCGGGUGUCAUCCAAGCCAUUUGUAAACAACGCUUUGCAUGAGGUACAUUCCAUUGAUAUAUUUUACUAAUUUCUGGCUAUUUAAAUGAAAAAAAUUACCUCACCAAUCAAAAUCUGAAGGAAAUAAACAGUGUUACUAUGGAAGAUGUAAUAGUGAUACUAGGUACAGACAUCGAGAAGAAUUGAAAGAUGUGUUUUGAUAUGGAUCAAAGCUUGCGGUUGACCCGAUGAUGAUUUCAACGUGGAUAAAACUGAGAGAUCUACAUAUAUAUGCAGCACGCAUUUUGCAGGGAAAAAUGGUAUUACGGCUAAAAAUCCUGAUCCAAUCCCAACACUUUUACACAUAUACACAGAUGAACAGGAAGGACCAUUACCAGCACUUUGUACUGCUACAUAUGCAUCGUCACAAACAGAAAAUAUAAAGACAAAUGACAAAGAAGUGCAAACUAUAUAUAUGAAAAAGAAGUUAUCAAUGCCAAAAUCGAAAAUAUGAUUUAAUAACCCAAAUGAGAAAUUGUGAAAGUAGGCAGAAUGAUCAGCCAAAUGAACAAAAUGACACCACCCUAUAAUUAAAGGCAAUAAAAAAAAUGGUAUUCCUCGAACAAAAACCUUUAAUUUGCAUAGCACCUAACGGGUCAAUUGUUUAUGUCUCAGACUUAUUUGAGGGCUCAAUAAGUGACAGAGCAAUUGUUGAGCAGAGUGGGUUUUUCGACUAUAGCAACCCAGGUGAUUUGGUUCUUGCAGAUAGGGGAUUAACACUUGAAGACCUACUACUCAGACGCCAAGCCUCCUUGAAUAUACCACUAUUUCUAGGAAAAAGAAAUGUUACCUCUCAAGAAGAGUUAAAACCAAGAUGAAUGGCUAAGGCUCGUAUACAUGUUGAACGUGUCAUAGAACGUAUGAAAAAAAAAUUAAGUUAUUGAGUGAAUAAAUACCUUUGUCAUUGUCUCCAAUUGCCAAUCAAUUAGUAUUUGUUGCAAGUUGCCUUGUUAAUUUUCAAGAACCUUUAGUUAAAUGAGAACAAACAUACAACAUUUUUUACAUGUGCAUGUAUCCAUAUAAAAUAUAUAUAACAAUAUAUGAUUUAUUUAUUGACUUGAAGUAUCAUUGGUAUAUUAAUGUCCUUUAAACAAUUGAUUGCCAAAUAAACGGAUCACCAGAUGUAAAAA